AUUCCUAGAGUUUGUGGGCUUUGCCACUGUCUCUUACCCAUGUCUUUUGAGUACUUACGUUUCCUCGGUGGGCUCGCCCGCCGGUUGGACAAUUUAAACCAUUUGCAGUUGCAAUCAGCGUCUGAAAAACAUAAUAGUUACAACUUUCAACAACGGAUCUCUUGGUUCUGGCAUCGAUGAAGAACGCAGCGAAAUGCGAUAAGUAGUGUGAAUUGCAGAAUUCAGUGAAUCAUCGAAUCUUUGAACGCACAUUGCGCCCCUUGGUAUUCCAUGGGGCAUGCCUGUUCGAGCGUCAUUUGUACCUUCAAGCUCUGCUUGGUGUUGGGUGUUUGUCUCGCCUUGCGCGUAGACUCGCCUUAAAACAAUUGGCAGCCGGCGUAUUGAUUUCGGAGCGCAGUACAUCUCGCGCUUUGCACUCAUAACGACGACGUCCAAAAGUACUUUUUACACUCUUGACCUCGGAUCAGGUAGGGAUACCCGCUGAACUUAAGCAUAUCAAUAAGCGGAGGAA
Molecule: ribosomal RNA, 511 nt
Filed under: Phoma herbarum
Lineage: Eukaryota; Fungi; Ascomycota; Dothideomycetes; Pleosporales; Didymellaceae
Description: eukaryotic LSU rRNA
Rfam family: 5.8S ribosomal RNA (bases 142-295)
Source: RNAcentral